This 328-nucleotide unclassified non-coding RNA is filed under the name Melitaea cinxia (Glanville fritillary). RNAcentral's name for it is "misc RNA ENSMCXG00005013894.1". Lineage: Eukaryota; Metazoa; Arthropoda; Insecta; Lepidoptera; Nymphalidae. The record is from RNAcentral.
AAACUCAUUUGCACAUAAAACAAUUCUUAAUUUCGCGUCUGCACAGAUAACGUAUCAAUGUAUAGUUAAAUUAACAAAAAAAAAAAACUCAGCGAAAUGAAAAUUGUUCAUUUAAUUUGCACUUUACUGUAACGCUCAUAGCCAAUAAAACUCGGGGAAUAUCCGAGAGUAUUGAACCAACCCACUCCGUAGAUACAAGUUCACUCCUUCUCUUACAAAAUAAUUGCGUUUGCUCGCAAACGAAAAAAAACUAACUUCAAUUACAUCAAUAAGUAAUACAACGUAAGUAGAGGAAACAAUAGUCAAGUAAAUACGCGCUAUCAAAGAC